CGGUGAGAGGCGUGCAGGGACCUGGAUUGGCCAGUCCAGACUAGCCCUGCCAAAAAGGGGGCCUCGGAGUUGGGGGUAAUGUGCCCAGGAGCAGAAAUCUGGCGACCGUGGCGCUGCAAUCACAGCUUUCCCGUGGUUUCCUAAGUGGUGGCGGUGAUUUGUUUGCGGGAAGCGGGGCGUGACGGAAGACCUUAAUUAAAGGACUCCGCAGGCGAACAGAUCUCUUCUGGGCAGCUACAGACCUCUCCUCGGAGGAGUCUAGGAGAGGCCUGGCUGGAAGCCCCGGCACCCGCCGGGCCCCGGGCCUCAGAUGAGUGAGGCGUCGUCGUGGCAACGCGGGCUCAGGUCCCCGCAAACUUCAUGCCAGGCCUCUCUCUCCCACUCCGGGAGUUCGGUCCCGGCCUCGCCUGCGUCUCCGUCCCAUUCCUGUGAACACUGGAGGGGCGGAUGCGCGCACCCCACGAGCAAGGCCCUCCCUUAGUGAUUCCCAGCUCGUUGGCGCCCCCCCACACACACCCACCCCCACUGCCAAGUGUAGCUGUUUACCCGCCACCUCUCGAGGCCGACGCGCCCCUCGCCGCUCACCAGGUGGCCCUCCUCCAGCCGAGCCCCCGAGUCAGUCCUCAUGGUGCUCUCCCCGCGGGGCUGCCCCGGCGCAACCGCCGGCGGCCCGAGCCCAGCUCCCCGCGACGCAGCGGCCUCCGGGACCUGUGGGACGCCGGGGCUUCGUGGCGCCUGGCGAGGCAGCCGCCCCCUGAGCCAGGUCCCCGCCCGCCUCUGUCCUGCCAGGCGCUGCUGGGUUUGGGAGGAAUGCGUUUACUCUCCAGGACCAACGAGUCUGUGCAGGCCUGGUUAAGAAAGAAAUGGGAAAGAUG
This 875-nucleotide long non-coding RNA is filed under the name Homo sapiens (human). Its description in RNAcentral is "long non-coding RNA NONHSAT076417.2". The record is from RNAcentral. Lineage: Eukaryota; Metazoa; Chordata; Mammalia; Primates; Hominidae.